UGUCGACUUGGAGGUUGUUCCCUUGAGGAGUGGCUUCCGGAGCUAACGCGUUAAGUCGACCGCCUGGGGAGUACGGCCGCAAGGUUAAAACUCAAAUGAAUUGACGGGGGCCCGCACAAGCGGUGGAGCAUGUGGUUUAAUUCGAUGCAACGCGAAGAACCUUACCUACUCUUGACAUCCACGGAAUUCGGCAGAGAUGCCUUAGUGCCUUCGGGAACCGUGAGACAGGUGCUGCAUGGCUGUCGUCAGCUCGUGUUGUGAAAUGUUGGGUUAAGUCCCGCAACGAGCGCAACCCUUAUCCUUUGUUGCCAGCGAUUCGGUCGGGAACUCAAAGGAGACUGCCGGUGAUAAACCGGAGGAAGGUGGGGAUGACGUCAAGUCAUCAUGGCCCUUACGAGUAGGGCUACACACGUGCUACAAUGGCGCAUACAAAGAGAAGCGACCUCGCGAGAGCAAGCGGACCUCACAAAGUGCGUCGUAGUCCGGAUCGGAGUCUGCAACUCGACUCCGUGAAGUCGGAAUCGCUAGUAAUCGUGGAUCAGAAUGCCACGGUGAAUACGUUCCCGGGCCUUGCACACACCGCCCGUCA
This 589-nucleotide ribosomal RNA is filed under the name Enterobacterales bacterium. RNAcentral's name for it is "bacterial SSU rRNA". It matches the Rfam family "Bacterial small subunit ribosomal RNA", at positions 810 to 1399 of the family's 1533-position model. Lineage: Bacteria; Pseudomonadati; Pseudomonadota; Gammaproteobacteria; Enterobacterales. The record is from RNAcentral.